CGUGCAACGCACGGGUAUAAUCCUAGUAUAUGAAAAUGAAUAUCAUAACCUUGAAUCCAGUCAAAAAAAAAAUAUCAUAAUCUUGAAAGUGUAUGUACACAAGCUAUAGGAGUCGUGAGAUUAUUUAGAAGGCUCCAUCCUGUCCCUAAAACUACAUAUUUUAUGCAACACAAAGAUGCGCCCCAUGCAUUACCUAAAUAUUUAUACGGGUCAUAAUCUUGGUGCAUGUGUUCCUGAGACUGCGAAAUCCUUUCUCCAUGGAAGACUUGAGCUUACCUUCUGCUGCGUAAAGCUUGUAUUUCACCACUCUGCGCUUUCUCCUCAUUUCACGGUUAGUCCACCACGACGUGUGGACGCGUGACUUGCUCACAAUCUUCACACCACGUUUGCGUUCUCUCCUUGGAGCUUCAUUACAGGUCUUGUUUGAACCCCUUUCUACCCGCAUUUUGUUGCCAUCUAAGGUUCUUCUCACAUACACAUCAUGUAAUUCUUGUAAUGACUGAGGUUGCCGAUGUUGGAUCACUUCCAUCUUUCUGAUUGCGUAUGAUGAUGAUUACCUUCUCAAAUCUCAAAUCUUAAAGCUCUAUAUCUUAUCAGGUGCUAUGUUUUUAUUGUGUGUAUUUGGGGGUUGGAUUACCUCUCAUUCUCUCCCUUCAUCUGCCUUUAGAGGGAAAGUAAGAGAGGGCAUUGAAAUUCAAGAGUUAGGUAAGGCCAGGAAUCAUAUUUUAUAUGUAACUUUAGUUCUUGUUCUAUUUUCGGCAAAGAAGAAAUGAGAGGU
This 778-nucleotide long non-coding RNA is filed under the name Lotus japonicus. RNAcentral describes it as "long non-coding RNA (LJAP_LNC000268)". Lineage: Eukaryota; Viridiplantae; Streptophyta; Magnoliopsida; Fabales; Fabaceae. The record is from RNAcentral.